Molecule: ribosomal RNA, 305 nt
Filed under: uncultured bacterium
Lineage: Bacteria
Description: bacterial SSU rRNA
Rfam family: Bacterial small subunit ribosomal RNA
Source: RNAcentral
CCCCUUAUGACUUGGGCUACACACGUGCUACAAUGGCGUAAACAAAGGGAAGCGAGAGUGUGAGCUUAAGCAAAUCUCAAAAAUAACGUCUCAGUUCGGAUUGUAGUCUGCAACUCGACUACAUGAAGCUGGAAUCGCUAGUAAUCGCGAAUCAGAAUGUCGCGGUGAAUACGUUCCCGGGUCUUGUACACACCGCCCGUCACACCAUGGGAGUUGGUAACGCCCGAAGUCAGUGACCCAACCGUAAGGAGGGAGCUGCCGAAGGCGGGACUGAUAACUGGGGUGAAGUCGUAACAAGGUAAACC